This 174-nucleotide ribosomal RNA is filed under the name Verrucomicrobiota bacterium. RNAcentral's name for it is "partial 23S ribosomal RNA". It matches the Rfam family "Bacterial large subunit ribosomal RNA", at positions 2740 to 2925 of the family's 2925-position model. The record is from RNAcentral. Lineage: Bacteria; Pseudomonadati; Verrucomicrobiota.
GCUGGGUAGCUAUGUUCGGAAAGGAUAAGCGCUGAAAGCAUCUAAGCGCCAAGCCUAUCCCAAGAUGAGAUCUCCCUGAAGAGUCGUGGUAGACCACCACGUUGAUAGGUCACUGGUGUAAGUGCAGCAAUGUAUUCAGCUAAGUGAUACUAAUAACUCGUUCGGCUUGGUCAU